GAAAUGUUAGCAGCUCAGCGCUAGCAGUUGCCGAUGAUACUGUAUCAUCUAGGAUUUCGGUAUGCUUGUGGGAGGAAUUGUGUGAGUGUAGCGGGUGAAAUGCUUAGAUAUCACCCAGAAUCAUCUGAUUGCGAAGGGCAGCUCACAAAACCAUGAUUGACGCUGAGGCACGCAACGUGUUGAGGAUCAGAACAGGAUUAGAUACCCCUGGUAGUGGACACAGUAAACGAUGAUAACUCAGCUGGCAGGCGAUACACAGUCUGUAGUCGAAGCGAAAGCGAUAAGUUAUCCACCUGGGGAGUACGACCGCAAGGUUGAAACUCAAAGGAAUUGACGGGGGCCCGCACAAGCGGAGGAACAUGUGGUUUAAUUCGAUGAUACGCGAGGAACCUUACCCGGGCUCGAACGGUUCAUGAAUAUACCGAGAGAUUGUACAGUCCUUCGGGACAUGUAUCGAGGUGCUGCAUGGUUGUCGUCAGCUCGUGCCGUGAGGUGUCGGCUUAAGUGCCAUAACGAGCGCAACCCUUGUCAUUAGUUACCAUCAGGUCAAGCUGGGGACUCUAUUGAGACUGCCACCGUAAGGUGUGAGGAAGGGGGGGAUGACGUCAAAUCAGCACGGCCCUUAUGUCCGGGGCGACACACGUGUUACAAUGGGAGGUACAGAGGGCAGCCAUCCGGCGACGGAGCGCUAAUCUCAAAAACCUUUCUCAGUUCGGAUUGGAGUCUGCAACUCGACUCCAUGAAGUUGGAUUCGCUAGUAAUCGCGCAUCAGCCAUGGCGCGGUGAAUACGUUCCCGGGCCUUGUACACACCGCCCGUCAAGCCAUGGAAGCUUGGGGUGCCUGAAGUUCGUGACCGCAAGGAGCGACCUAG
RNAcentral lists this ribosomal RNA (872 nucleotides) under uncultured bacterium. RNAcentral's name for it is "bacterial SSU rRNA". It matches the Rfam family "Bacterial small subunit ribosomal RNA", at positions 596 to 1460 of the family's 1533-position model. The record is from RNAcentral.